CUACGGGCCGCUGCAGUGAGGAAUAUUGGUCAAUGGGCGCAAGCCUGAACCAGCCAUGCCGCGUGCAGGAUGACUGCCCUAUGGGUUGUAAACUGCUUUUAUACGGGAAGAAACCCCCGAUCGUGAUCGGGGUUGACGGUACCGUAGGAAUAAGCAUCGGCUAACUCCGUGCCAGCAGCCGCGGUAAUACGGAGGAUGCAAGCGUUAUCCGGAUUUAUUGGGUUUAAAGGGUGCGUAGGCGGAGAAUUAAGUCAGUGGUGAAAUCCUGCAGCUUAACUGUAGAACUGCCAUUGAUACUGGUUUUCUUGAGUAUAGUUGAGGUGGGCGGAAUGUGUAAUGUAGCGGUGAAAUGCUUAGAUAUUACACAGAACACCGAUUGCGUAGGCAGCUCACUAAGCUAUAACUGACGCUGAGGCACGAAAGCGUGGGGAGCGAACAGGAUUAGAUACCCUAGUAGUC
This 459-nucleotide ribosomal RNA is filed under the name uncultured bacterium. RNAcentral's name for it is "partial 16S ribosomal RNA". It matches the Rfam family "Bacterial small subunit ribosomal RNA", at positions 339 to 795 of the family's 1533-position model. The record is from RNAcentral.